This is a long non-coding RNA of Lemur catta (Ring-tailed lemur), 1430 nucleotides long. RefSeq lists it as uncharacterized. The transcript has 3 exons. NCBI's taxonomy places the organism in Eukaryota, Metazoa, Chordata, Mammalia, Primates, Lemuridae. The record is from RefSeq and is a predicted model, not a curated record.
CCACCGCGGGGCACCUGGGGCCGACGCCCGGGAGCUCACCUGCAGCGGCCGAGGGCCCGGCCGCGGCCAGGACCAGGAGCGCAAGGAACAGCCGCAUCGCGACCGAGCAGAGACGCCGCCGAGCCGGGGGUCGCGUACCCAGGAGGCCGCUGAGGAUGCCGCGAUCAUGCGGGCCCGGGUUUUAUAGCGGAGCCGCGACGGGAGGACUGAGGAAGCCUAUUCCUGGGAAUUGAGGCUACCCCAGAGAGUCCCUGUGAGCCCAGGCUAGCUCCCUGCACUCCUGACAGUGACUGAUGAUCUGGCAGGGCCUGCUGUGCUCGUUGGGUAUGUGGCCAAAGCUUGGAGGCACCGACUUCCCACCUGAUCUUCCCUUGCGCCUCAAGUUUGGCAUCCUCCAUUGGCCUGCAUGGCUGGGCUUCAUCUUCUUAGCCAGGAAACUGGACGUUGCUGAAGUACAGCCCCUCAGCUGGGACCAGAGGAGGAGGAUCAGAAACAGGAGAGGCCAUAGGUGGGUACCUUCUCAUCAAGGGUUGGAGCCCAGCCUGGGAGCCUCUUUACUGCUGAAUAUAAUCAUGAUCACAGGAUAAUAGUAGCUCCCAAUUAUUGCCCAUUUACUAUAUGUCUCUGCCAGGCAUGAUGCAAUUAAGUUGUAUGCAUCAUUUCAUUGAUCCUUUCAACAAUCUGUGAGGUAUGUGCUGUGACGGUUUCCAUUGCACACAUGGCGCUGGGAGAAGUUAAAUCACCUGGACCACAUGGUCUGAAAGAAAAGCUAGGAUACGAAUACAGGCCGUCAGAUGACUCUCUGAUGCUUUUCUGGCCUUGUAGCUGUUUUUCUUGGGCAUAGCCUCAAUGCCCAAUGGAGCAUGGCUCCUCUGGUGACCUCAGGACAAACCUCUGCAAAAGAACCCCAGCAGGGUGGCAGGCCCGGGGAGGCAGGCCAUGUGUAGGGGGUGGUUGGGUGAGUUCUGGCUGAAUCAGAGUGCUAAGAGGGGCUCCUCCAAACUUCCAAGGUCCUCUCAGGGUUCGACAGCCAGGAAAAGGUGGCUUCCUCAGGGAGGGAGCUGCCACUAGAGCCUGUCUACAUUGACUCCUUUCAGAUCUGUGGGUGGGAGAGAGAGCCAGUGGCUGAUCUGGGAGGCCAAGGGGAGCCCAGGACCAUGCAGGCCUGGGGUGGGUGAGGUGUGGGGAGAGGCAGCAUCACAGGCCUGCAGGUCUGUGGAGCAACCAGGGCAGACACUGCAGAGAAAGGAGAAACAGCGCUGGGAUCUGUUUCCAACCUCCUUCCUGAUGAGAACAGCUUAAUGAGAGUACAGCUCCCACCCUGGGGAGCUCAGAGUCUAACAGAGGAGACACAGCUCUUAACUGGGGUGCAAGGACCAUGCCUAUUUCUCACAGGGGACCCGGCAUCAGCGUGGUGCCAGACACACAGC